RNAcentral lists this transfer RNA (75 nucleotides) under Clostridia bacterium. Its description in RNAcentral is "tRNA-Gln". It matches the Rfam family "tRNA". From Rfam's summary of the family: Transfer RNA (tRNA) molecules are approximately 80 nucleotides in length. Their secondary structure includes four short double-helical elements and three loops (D, anti-codon, and T loops). Lineage: Bacteria; Bacillati; Bacillota; Clostridia. The record is from RNAcentral. RNAcentral also lists the same sequence under 1 other name.
UGGGAUGUUGCCAAGCGGUAAGGCACCAGACUUUGACUCUGGUAUUCGCAGGUCCGAAUCCUGCCAUCCCAGCCA